GACGAACGCUGGCGGCGUGCUUAACACAUGCAAGUCGAACGGUGAAGCGAGUGCUUGCACUCGUGGAUCAGUGGCGAACGGGUGAGUAACACGUGAGUAACCUGCCCAUCACUCUGGGAUAAGCACUGGAAACGGUGUCUAAUACUGGAUACGACCAACCCUUGCAUGGGGUGUUGGUGGAAAGAUUUAUCGGUGAUGGAUGGACUCGCGGCCUAUCAGCUUGUUGGCGAGGUAAUGGCCCACCAAGGCGACGACGGGUAGCCGGCCUGAGAGGGUGACCGGCCACACUGGGACUGAGACACGGCCCAGACCCCUACGGGAGGCAGCAGUGGGGAAUAUUGCACAAUGGGCGAAAGCCUGAUGCAGCGACGCCGCGUGAGGGAUGACGGCCUUCGGGUUGUAAACCUCUUUCAGCAGGGAAGAAGCGAAAGUGACGGUACCUGCAGAAGAAGCACCGGCUAACUACGUG
This 469-nucleotide ribosomal RNA is filed under the name uncultured bacterium. RNAcentral describes it as "partial 16S ribosomal RNA". It matches the Rfam family "Bacterial small subunit ribosomal RNA", at positions 28 to 507 of the family's 1533-position model. The record is from RNAcentral.